CGUAGGCAGCGAGCGUUGUUCGGAGUUACUGGGCGUAAAGGGUGUGUAGGCGGUUGUUUAAGUUUGGUGUGAAAUCUCCCGGCUCAACUGGGAGGGUGCGCCGAAUACUGAAUGACUUGGAGUGCGGGAGAGGAAAGUGGAAUUCCUGGUGUAGCGGUGAAAUGCGUAGAUAUCAGGAGGAACACCGGUGGUGUAGACGGCUUUCUGGACCGUAACUGACGCUGAGACACGAAAGCGUGGGUAGCAAACAGGAUUAGAUACCCUGGUAGUCCACGCCCUAAACGAUGCAUAUUGGUGUGGGCAGUUCAUUCUGUCCGUGCCGGAGCUAACGCGUUAAAUAUGCCGCCUGGGGAGUACAGUCGCAAGGCUG
Molecule: ribosomal RNA, 370 nt
Filed under: uncultured organism
Description: bacterial SSU rRNA
Rfam family: Bacterial small subunit ribosomal RNA
Source: RNAcentral